GUUACUGCUCCCCUGCUGGGCUCUGU
Molecule: non-coding RNA, 26 nt
Filed under: Cricetulus griseus (Chinese hamster)
Lineage: Eukaryota; Metazoa; Chordata; Mammalia; Rodentia; Cricetidae
Source: RNAcentral